CGGGACGUGGCGCAGCCUGGUAGCGCACCUGCUUUGGGAGCAGGGGGUCGCGAGUUCAAAUCUCGCCGUCCCGACCA
This 77-nucleotide transfer RNA is filed under the name Thermoleophilia bacterium. RNAcentral's name for it is "tRNA-Pro". It matches the Rfam family "tRNA". From Rfam's summary of the family: Transfer RNA (tRNA) molecules are approximately 80 nucleotides in length. Their secondary structure includes four short double-helical elements and three loops (D, anti-codon, and T loops). Further hydrogen bonds mediate the characteristic L-shaped molecular structure. tRNAs have two regions of fundamental functional importance: the anti-codon, which is responsible for specific mRNA codon recognition, and the 3' end, to which the tRNAs corresponding amino acid is attached (by aminoacyl-tRNA synthetases). tRNAs cope with the degeneracy of the genetic code in two manners: having more than one tRNA (with a specific anti-codon) for a particular amino acid; and 'wobble' base-pairing, i.e. permitting non-standard base-pairing at the 3rd anti-codon position. The record is from RNAcentral. RNAcentral also lists the same sequence under 3 other names. Lineage: Bacteria; Bacillati; Actinomycetota; Thermoleophilia.